CUAAGUACAAUGACAAAGAAGAGUAGUUUUAGAUUCUUUUUAGAGAGGUUGUGGUUGGUGCAAACAACUAAGGGUUUAUAAUGAAUGGAGCUUUGGAGUGCGUUUUAUUUGUAAGGAGGGCUAAUAGCCAAAAAGGGUGGAACCGCGGAAGUAUGUUUUUCGUCCCUUUA
Molecule: non-coding RNA, 170 nt
Filed under: Clostridium botulinum
Lineage: Bacteria; Bacillati; Bacillota; Clostridia; Eubacteriales; Clostridiaceae
Description: T-box sequence
Rfam family: T-box leader
About the family: Uncharged tRNA acts as the effector for transcription antitermination of genes in the T-box leader family. T-boxes are found upstream of many aminoacyl-tRNA synthetase genes and some amino acid biosynthetic genes usually in Gram-positive bacteria. The anticodon of a specific tRNA base pairs to a specifier sequence within the T-box motif, and the NCCA acceptor tail of the tRNA base pairs to a conserved bulge in the T-box antiterminator hairpin.
Source: RNAcentral